AGGAAUCGUACCCCAAACCGACACAGGUGGUCGGGUAGAGAAUACCAAGGCGCUUGAGAGAACUCGGGUGAAGGAACUAGGCAAAAUGGUACCGUAACUUCGGGAGAAGGUACGCUCUUGAUGGUGAAGUCCCUCGCGGAUGGAGCUGACGAGAGUCGCAGAUACCAGGUGGCUGCAACUGUUUAUUAAAAACACAGCACUGUGCAAAAUCGCAAGAUGACGUAUACGGUGUGACGCCUGCCCGGUGCCGGAAGGUUAAUUGAUGGGGUUAGCGCAAGCGAAGCUCUUGAUCGAAGCCCCGGUAAACGGCGGCCGUAACUAUAACGGUCCUAAGGUAGCGAAAUUCCUUGUCGGGUAAGUUCCGACCUGCACGAAUGGCGUAAUGAUGGCCACGCUGUCUCCACCCGAGACUCAGUGAAAUUGAAAUCGCUGUGAAGAUGCAGUGUACCCGCGGCUAGACGGAAAGACCCCGUGAACCUUUACUACAGCUUGGCACUGAACAUUGAACCUACAUGUGUAGGAUAGGUGGGAGGCUAUGAAGACGUGACGCUAGUUGCGUUGGAGCCGUCCUUGAAAUACCACCCUUGUAUGUUUGAUGUUCUAACUUAGACCCGUUAUCCGGGUUGAGGACAGUGCCUGGUGGGUAGUUUGACUGGGGCGGUCUCCUCCCAAAGAGUAACGGAGGAGCACGAAGGUGGGCUAAUCACGGUUGGACAUCGUGAGGUUAGUGCAAUGGCAUAAGCCCGCUUAACUGCGAGAAUGACGGUUCGAGCAGGUGCGAAAGCAGGUCAUAGUGAUCCGGUGGUUCUGUAUGGAAGGGCCAUCGCUCAACGGAUAAAAGGUACUCCGGGGAUAACAGGCUGAUACCGCCCAAGAGUUCAUAUCGACGGCGGUGUUUGGCACCUCGAUGUCGGCUCAUCACAUCCUGGGGCUGAAGUCGGUCCCAAGGGUAUGGCUGUUCGCCAUUUAAAGUGGUACGCGAGCUGGGUUUAGAACGUCGUGAGACAGUUCGGUCCCUAUCUGCCGUGGGCGUUGGAAGAUUGAAGGGGGCUGCUCCUAGUACGAGAGGACCGGAGUGGACGAACCUCUGGUGUUCGGGUUGUGUCGCCAGACGCAUUGCCCGGUAGCUAAGUUCGGAAU
RNAcentral lists this ribosomal RNA (1140 nucleotides) under Vibrio mimicus. RNAcentral describes it as "partial 23S ribosomal RNA". It matches the Rfam family "Bacterial large subunit ribosomal RNA", at positions 1637 to 2761 of the family's 2925-position model. The record is from RNAcentral. Lineage: Bacteria; Pseudomonadati; Pseudomonadota; Gammaproteobacteria; Vibrionales; Vibrionaceae.